GAGACACCAUUGGGAAGGAAAGACAGAAGUCAAGCAGGAGAGAAUAAGGACAACCUGGGGCCUGCAAGGAUGAGUGAGAGCCCACAAGAAAACCAGAAGCUUCUCUUACUGCUUCUGAGCCUCCAACUUCAACAAUAGAGUUCCUACAGGAGAAAGUGGUACCGACUGUCAUGCACUUAUGUGAAAACCUGGCCCAUGAAUUGGAGAGAUGAAAGGAAGGAUCUAGUAGAGGGUGGAAGCUCUGUGGGCUUGGCUGAUGCCCCACACCAACCAGGUGAACCAGAAGACAUGACAUGCAUGAGCUACAGCAGUGCCUGGUGACCUACAUAGACCUGCAAAGCAUAAAAAGAAUAAGACCACUGCUUCCACCCUCUGAAUCUCCUGCAAGACCCCACAGUCAAACCCAGAAUUAUACAAUGAAGGGAACUCUGAAACAUAGUCCAAGUUUAGCUAAAGUAACAGAGGACAAGUUCACCAUACGCUGCCAUGAAAUGGAUGGCUUGUGGCUUCACUCAAAGUCAAACCUCAAACAAAUCCAUCUGAUAAGUGAGCUCUAAAUUAUAUAUGGACCACUACAUGCAAGGGGGUUUGGGUAACCCAAUUCUUUAAAUUUUGCAAAGAGGUACACUAGGAGAUUGGAAAAGAUGAGCUGUUACUAUAACCAAGAUUUAUUGAAUGCUUACUAUGCACUGCAUGCUGUGCUUAGUAUUUCAUGCAUAUUUUCUCAAUUAAUCCUCAAUAAUCUCAUGAAAUGAGAAGUAUCAUUAUUAUUUAUUAUCAUUAUUUUUCUGUUGCCUGUGUAGGCUCAUAGAAGAUAAAAUCACCAAAAAAGCAUUCUUUAUUCCAGACAUCUGCUUUCAGAGCUCAAACUCAGAACUCAAACUCUAAACCACAUUCUAUCAUCAUUAAGUACUUCUCUUGAUCAUUGCUACACUGCCAGGAACUAGUACAGUUCUUGAUACAUAGACCAUGCUCAAUAUUGUAAUUAUUGAACUCACCUCCACACAAUCACCAAAGACUUUAUUUCUUUAGUUUAGCCCUAUCCUAUUUCUCUUUUUAUUUCCUAGUAGUAACCUAAUAUAGGCCCAUGGCAUACAAUAUGUAUUUGUUAUCAAAUAGUGUUCACAGACCCAGUCAAAUCUAGUAAAGCCUGAAGAGUUGUCAGCAUUGUACACAUAAAGAUCUUGAGAAUCAGAAUCUUGUCCUUGAUGUUAUACCCUAAGAUUCUUGGAACUCAGAAUACCACAGAAAGUUUUGGGAAAUUCAGCAUAAUUAAAAAACUUCCAUAGUCAGAAAUCCACUCUCUUCCUUUAUCUCAAACCACAGACUAGAUACAUUUUCAUACCCAGAAUUGGUCAGGGAGGAAGAUUUGAAGAGAAUGCAGAGGAAAUGUAGUGUGGCUUAGAAGAAAACUAUUCUCUGUCCUCCCUUAGUUGAGUUCUUUGCAUUGACAGGGGAAUUCACAAAACCUCAGAUUGGUUGGGGAAUUGAAAAGCAGAUUACUUUCUUUGUGGAGAGGGAAUAUCCUGCAGAAGCAGAAAGACCUGAAGAAUGUCUGUUACCAACCUAGUAAUGUUACUGUGAAAAAAAAAAUAUUUGUAUGGGUGUGCAAAAGUGAGUGGCAGAAUUUUUUGAAUCCUAAUGAGGUAUAGGAAGAGCCAAGUUUUACUUUUAUAUUCAAAAAGAACAUCUAAGUAAUGGAGAAAGAUAGAGACAUAAAAGGCACGAGAGUUAGGAUGGCAAGAUGGCGCCGUGUGUGUGGAUCCAUGACCAGGGAUCAGAUGGACACAAAGUUGCCCAGAAGAUGCUCACAUGUCCAGACUAGAAUUAACUCUACCUCACUUGACCUCUUGCUUGCAAAAUAUCACCCACAGUUAGACUUAAAUUUAGAAAUUAGGUGGAAAGAGAUAGCAACUGAUGAAGAUUUUGUUUUCAACUCCUAGUGACACCUAAAUUCCUGGCCACAUAAAAAUUCUGUUCUCAGAAAAAUUAAGUGAAAAUUUUUUUCACAUGUGAGUGAAAUUUUGGAUCAAAAUUCAAGUUCACUAUAAAAAGUGGACCAAAGAGGUCUACCAAUACUUAAAUAUUCAAAUAAAA
This 2097-nucleotide long non-coding RNA is filed under the name Marmota monax (woodchuck). Lineage: Eukaryota; Metazoa; Chordata; Mammalia; Rodentia; Sciuridae. The record is from RNAcentral.